RNAcentral lists this long non-coding RNA (406 nucleotides) under Mytilus galloprovincialis (Mediterranean mussel). The record is from RNAcentral. Lineage: Eukaryota; Metazoa; Mollusca; Bivalvia; Mytilida; Mytilidae.
UCAGUUACAAAGCUGGCUACCAGGUUUCCGCAGGCCAUAGGGUGUGAAAAUACAUCAGAACUUCUAGACAAGUUACAGAGUACCAUCUGUUAUAUUCUGAUGAUCUUCCCACCCUUGACCAGGACAUAUCAUCAUUCUGGGGAGAAAUGGCAGAAGUUGAGGACAUCUUCAAUGAUAAAAAAAAACGUUUUAACAUACUCUCAAAGCUCGCUAAAGCAUUUUUAGUUUUACCAAAUAGUAAUGCUGAUUGUGAAAGAGCCUUUCCUAUCAUAAAAAAGAUAUACAAAGAAUUUAGAUCUGAGCUGAACAAUGAUACAUUAUGUGCAAUUUUGUCAUGCAAAUAUAAUCAUACUGGCAGUUGCUAUGAGUAUCAGCCUAGUUGUGAUGUGAUGAAAGCAGCAAAACA